This 359-nucleotide long non-coding RNA is filed under the name Equus caballus (horse). Its description in RNAcentral is "lncRNA (ENSECAG00000046799.1)". Lineage: Eukaryota; Metazoa; Chordata; Mammalia; Perissodactyla; Equidae. The record is from RNAcentral.
GUAAAAUGUGGCUCAUAAUGCCCUACCCACUUGAGUGGGUUGAUGGAGUAAAUGGUAAAGAUGAAUGUGAAGGCCCCUUGUAAACUUUAAAUGGCUUUUCAUAAAGGGCAGAGCCAAGCUUGACCAGUGGAGCCUCUGAUUUCAGGAGCAGCUUCUCAAAGGCAAGAAAAUAAGUUUGGAGAGAACAUAAUGCUUUGAGCGAGACACUACGAGGGAGUAAGAUGAAAGCCAUCAUUUGGUGGAGUCAGCUGAAGAGCCCAGCCCAGAAGUUGCUCUCUCUCUGAAGGGCAGAGUCCAAUUUUGUCCCACCGAACGUGGGGCUAGCCUUAUCCUCCAGUCUGUGAGGCUGUUGCAGAUCA